This 744-nucleotide ribosomal RNA is filed under the name uncultured bacterium. RNAcentral's name for it is "bacterial SSU rRNA". It matches the Rfam family "Bacterial small subunit ribosomal RNA", at positions 34 to 754 of the family's 1533-position model. The record is from RNAcentral.
CGCUGGCGGCGUGCCUAAGCUUAUGCAAGUCGAACGCGAACGGUUCCUUCGGGAACCCAGUAGAGUGGCGAACGGGUGAGUAACGCGUGGGUAACCUGCCCCGGCCCUGGGGAUAACUCCCGGAAACGGGAGCUAAUACCGAAUGUGGCCCCUCUUCGGAUGGAGAGUGGCUAAAGGUGGCCUCUGCUUGCAAGCUGCCGGGUCGGGAGGGGCCCGCGUCCCAUUAGCUAGUUGGUGGGGUAACGGCUCACCAAGGCUGCGAUGGGUAGCCGGCCUGAGAGGGUGUACGGCCACACUGGCACUGAGACAAGGGCCAGUCCCCUAUGGGAGGCGCAGGCGGGAAUAGUUCCCAAUGGACGAAAGUCUGAGGACGCGACGCCGCGUGAGCGAAGAAGGCCUUCGGGUUGUAAAGCUCUGUCAGGAGGGAAGAAGGUGCGACGGGUUAAUACCCCGGCGCACUGACGGUACCUCCAGAGGAAGCCCCGGCUAAAUACGUGCCAGCAGCCGCGGUAAUACGUAUGGGGCGAGCGUUGUCCGGAAUCACUGGGCGUAAAGGGCGCGCAGGCGGUUGGGUAAGUCGGAGGUGAAAUCCCCAGGCUCAACCUGGGACCUGCCUUCGAUACUGCCCGGCUAGAGUGGCGGAGAGGAAAGCGGAACUCCUGGUGUAACGGUGGAAUGUGUAGAUAUCAGGAGGAACACCGGUGGCGAAGGCGGCUUUCUGGACGCACACUGACGCUCAGGCGC